GAAAACAAAAAGAAGAACAAAGGAAGAAAAGAAGAACAAGAACCCUAGGUGGGAAAAUUCAAGGGAAAAUUGGUGGAUUUCAAGUAAUCAAGCAAUCAAAGGUAAAAUUUCUUGAUUUUGACUUGUGAUCUACCUUUCCCAUGCAUUUCUCUUUAUUUUCCAUGGUUAAAUUUCAUGUUUUCAUGGUGAAUUCAUGGCUGGCCGAAUGGGUAUGGAGAGAGAAUGAUGUUGGAUUGAUUUGAUUUCAAGUUAUGUUAGUGUUUUUAGUUAGUUAGUGAUGUGUAGCAAGAAAAGCCAACAAGAAAAAUUCAUUUUCUCCCAUUACCCAUAAGAGACCGAAUUUUCUAGGCAGAAUAUUGAGGCUGAAAUUGAUGAUAUUUCAUUAAAUUUUAGUGAUAUUUGAUGUUUGGUGAGGUUAAAAAUUAAAUGGGAAAUUUUGGUGUAUAAAUCUGAAUUUUUGCUCAACGCAUAGACAUGUGUGAUUAUUGACCCAAGACUGAUAAAUUGUAAAGCCCGACCUUAUAAAAUACUUGUCAUGACAUACAUGUGAUGGAUAGCAUGUUUGCAUGCUAUGAGAGUCCCGAAAAAUUUACAAAAGUCGGUAUUAUACCUAGAGAUACAACAAAGUUGAUUUAAGCCUCGAACUAGUUUAAAUAGGAAUUUUAAAGUGAAAUUGAGAAUUUCACGGUCUAGGGAUGACUCAAAUUGGUAACUCGGAAUUCGAGGAUCAAUUUGGAGUCAAACUGAAAUUUUUACUAUCUAGGGGCAAAAUGGUCAUUUGCCACUUGGGGACAAAAUGAGAAUUUUAGUGUGAGACCUCAACCUCAAUAAGCCUGUAACUAAGCAUAAAUGUAAUAAUAUGAGCCAAGGGUAGUUUUGUCAUUUUCUCUAAUAAGCUCCCAAAAGAAAGUUUUAUGAUAUUUUAAGGUCUAAAUAGGCAUAAGACUGCAUAAAUGAUGUGUAAUGAUGAAAACACGAAAAAAACUAAAAAUGAUAAUAAUUUUCACGAUAGGGGCAAAAUGGUCAUUUUUCACCUCGGGUUAAAAUUUUAAGUUUUCAUGAACCCGAGACAUGUCUAGACCAUUAUGGAUCUUGUCUCGGUGUCAAAGGAGUAAAAAGAUUACACAAAGGGUUGCAUGAGAACAAGCUAACUAGUCAAGGGUAUUUUCGUAAUUUUAAAGGAAUGGAUAAGUUUGGCCUAUAAAUACUUUCUUCCAGCAGCUUCUUCUCCCAUUUUCCAGUAGCUUGUCUUCUUCUUCUUCUUCUCUUUCAUAUUUCUUCAAAACCUCCAUGGAAGCUUGAUAUGUAGCUUGCAAAAUUUUCUCUCUCUAACUCUAGUUUUCAUAUUUUUGAGCUCUUUUGACUAGAACCCUAGCAUUCUUUCACUUUCUCACUUCAAAACCCUUGGUAAAGUUUAUUUUCAUACUUUCUUUCACUAGCUGGGCGUUCUAGAGAGAGAAAGAGAGAAUUACCCCACUUAUUUGGAAGCUAUUAGAAGGGAAUUCAACUACAAAGAAAACAAAGGGUGAGUGAUGAACUAAGAUUGAUUUUUAGCUAUGAAUAAGGGCUAGUAAUUUAGAUUAAGAGCUAUUUUAUUGUUGAGUAUGUUCAUUAAUUUUUUAGUGAUUAAGAUAGUGAAUAUAGAUAGCCAUUUAAUGCGGCAAUUGAAAGCUAGCUAAGAGAUAGCUUUUAGGGUUCAUAGUGUGUGAAUUGACCUAUGAUGUGAUCCUAGGUUCUAAUGAAGUCCCAUCCUUCCAAUUGGAUCAUUAGGGGAAUUGGAGUCAUUUAAAGGCUCAACAAAAUAUCGGUGAGUGGACUGCCUAUCAAAAUCAUUUUGGGAAUGUGACUGUUUUGUACAAAGUGUUUGAAUGAUUUUAUAAAACUUUUCUCAAAAAAUGAAUGCCUUGGGAACAAGCUCUUGAGAAAUGGUUUAUGUUAUGACAUGUGGUUAUUAUGGAUUUCUAUGCGGCUACAUUAUGUUGAUAUACUUAUAUGUUUGAAUAUAGUGUUGUGUAAUUAUAUUGACUCGGCUAUGUGCGAGUAGGGAGUGCGCAUAAGCCGAGGAUGACCCGAUUAUGUGCGAGUAGGGAGUGCGCAUAAUCCGGUGAUUACCCAGCCAUGUGUGAGUAGGGAGUGCGCAUGAGCUGGUGAUGAUGAUGAUGGAAUGGUGUGCAUGAUGAUGAUGGGUAUACGUAUACAUAUAUACAUAUGUUAAUAUGUGUGUUAUAGGAAAUUAAUGAGUAAUGGUAUAUGGUUGUAAUGCAUGUGAAACUUGACAUGUUAAACUCUGAAAGAUUGUUAUGCGUUUCAUGUUGGUUUGAACAUUUUAGCAAGGUGAUUGUUCUUUGGGAGAAAGCGCAAUUUUACAUUAGUGCCCUGUAUCUCGCUGCAGCGAGAGUCAUUCUUGCUGCAGCGAGAAACUCUCGAGUUUGAGAACCUUCAACAGAAUUGGUUCUCACUAC
RNAcentral lists this long non-coding RNA (2462 nucleotides) under Theobroma cacao (cacao). RNAcentral's name for it is "long non-coding RNA (TCAC_LNC006015)". The record is from RNAcentral. Lineage: Eukaryota; Viridiplantae; Streptophyta; Magnoliopsida; Malvales; Malvaceae.